Molecule: long non-coding RNA, 327 nt
Organism: Motacilla alba alba
Lineage: Eukaryota; Metazoa; Chordata; Aves; Passeriformes; Motacillidae
Exons: 3
Source: RefSeq, a predicted model, not a curated record
GUCUUGGGCUGCAGUCUGUGUUAUGCAGAAAUGUGAGAGAGACUUUUUCAAGACCAGCUGCACCCUGCAUUUCUUCAAGCCCUGCUUGCCAGUAUAGAUGCACCUUGAGCACCAGAUUGCUUUUGAAAAGCUUUAUCCAGUUGAGAGAUCUGUCCCCAUUUCACAAUGAUGCUGAAAUACAAACCUGAGCUUCAGUUCCUUCACCAGCCAGCCCACGCUGCACACAUCACCAGAAUUCAGUGCUUUUCAAACAACGCCCUUCAGCCCUCAGAGCAGGGAGAACAGCGCAGCGCUCCCAGCCCGGCUCGCUCAGCUCGGCCCAGUUCG